UGAGCCUCAGAAACUCCAGCUCAUGCCUUCCUGGCUGGCUUCUGUGAGCCCUGAGUCUAGCGGAGCUGCACCCUUCCCCACCUACCUGAGGAUAUUCUAAACCACUCAAGAAGGGCAGGAGCAGUGGGUGAUUAGAAGCCAAUUAAAGAUACAGCCCAGCUCCUCACCAUCUUACCUAUUACCACCUGUGCAAAGAUCACCUGCUGGCACAGGGGUGGGGGGAGGGGGUGGACUAGGAGGGCAAUUUCCGGUUACUGCCCCAGAGAGGGGGCUGUGGCUGUCUUGCCGCCUGUGCCUGGCAGAGGAGGCCAGUGACAGGAGCCACGUCUUAGGGCAAUGACCAGGUGAGGGCUUCAGGCCACCUUGGGGCCCUGAAUCUGGAAUCAAGAGACACGGAGAAUGAGGACCUGUUGUGGGGUCCUCUGUGGACUGAAAACUUUUCUUCACAGCCAGAAAAAUUGCCAGUCGGGAGGGAGAGCGCACUUCGUCUUGGGCCCAACCUCUCUUUGUUCCUGCCCUUCCGGAGUGGCUGGGUGUUCUGCAGCACAGACCUCAGUUCUACCAGGCUGUGAUCUGCCAGCGUUUUAUGAGAGCUGACGUCAAACCAGGAAGGAGGCACCCAUAGCAUCUGCAAAUGCAGGGGCUCAAGCUGUGGAUCUUGGCGUUCCACCCAGCCUCCACCAAAUAGCCCCAAAGCCAUGUCCACAUACCUCUCAGCCUGUCAGACCACUUGGCCAAUGAAAUGGAGACAUGUUCUUUAAGAGAGGCGGGAAAUAAUGUUCAGUACGUUUGGAGCUAUUAUUCAGUAGCAGAACUAAAGAAAACGAUGGAUGCCUUUGAUGCCUGGGAAGGAAAAGGUGUUAGCUACUGGUGGGUGCCUCACGAGCUGAUGGAGUGUUGGACGCUGGGAGAGCGGCCUAUACUUGGAAGCCUAUGUCACAUGGCCCCAAUGCGAAAGAGCCGACUGACGGCCUUCAAUGAAGAGGAGGAAGACAGUGUGAAUGCUUUACUCCCAAACUCUAGCAAAUCAACGGGAAAUGAGAUCAGAGACAGUGGUGGGGCCAAGUCUGCUGCAAGCAGCUGAAGCUGGUCGACCCUUUCUGAGGGCGCUCCCACCAGCCUCUACACAGAGUCCUUUCUCAGAGCUGAGCAACAUGGGACUGCUAAGUACCAGGACCAUCCGAAGAACCAAAAUGAGUGAUCCAAGUAAGAGAACUGGCCGUGUCUAUGUGGACAUUCCUGAGUGAGGAGCAAACACAGCAAAUUUUCUCAAUUUUGGUGAACAUGCAAAUUACCUUAGAAACUUAAAAAAUACCAAGCCCUGGAUGUCAUCUUCGGAGAUUCGACUUAACUGGUUUUGAGUGGGGCCAGGUGAGUCCAAUAUGCAGCCAUUGGCCCUGAGAGUUACAUAACCCUCUGGCUGCUACUUGGCAUCUCUGUGGGAGGCUGAACCACAUCUGCGCGGCUUCUGGUACAUGCUGUGUCUUUGAUGUCUGUUGUGUCAGCCCCAGGAGAAAGGACAAAGGAGAAUGCUACUCUUGGUGUGUUUCUGGGUGGGGUAUUUCAGGCAGGCCUAGAUUUCGAAGCUUCGGGGUGAAGGAUGAAUUUUCUGCUGUCAUUUCCUUCUGUCUCCAGCUCCAUCAGGGUCUUUAUGACCCAGGAUGAGGUUAUUAUGUGCUGACCCUCACUAGUUAGUCCUGCAUGCCUCUCAGUGGGUGGUGAGUAUCUGGGGCUUGGGGUCAUCUGGGGGUAGAGGGACAUGGCAGCAGGUUGCGUGGAAUCUUGUUCCUGCCAUGGUUCUGAGCCCUCAGAGUGGGUAUUCACAACUUGGACUUGCUCUUCUGCUUCUGGUCUGAGAGGAGGUGAGACCAGCAUGAAGAGUGAUAAAAAAAACUAGUGACCAGAAAGAUGACUAGUGACUAAACCAUGAGAGCAGUCCCAGAGGUGUGAAGAAGAGGGAGGGGGAUGGUGGGCCCAUGCAGUCAUGGAAGGCACCACGGAGGAGGUGAGACUUGAGUUCAGAAGAAAUUUUUUUUCUUUUUGCUUUUUCUAGGGCCGCACCCACAGCAUAUGGAAGUUCCCAGGCUAGGCGUCGAAUCAGAGCUGUAGCCGCCGGCCUACACCAGAGCCACAGCAACACAGGAUCCGAGCCACGUCUGCGAUCUACACUACAGCUCACGGCAACGCUGAAUCCUUAACCUACUGAGCAAGGGCAGGGAUCGAACCCACAACCUCAUGGUUCCUAGU
This 2247-nucleotide long non-coding RNA is filed under the name Sus scrofa (pig). RNAcentral's name for it is "lncRNA (ENSSSCG00050026302.1)". Lineage: Eukaryota; Metazoa; Chordata; Mammalia; Artiodactyla; Suidae. The record is from RNAcentral.